UGGGGAAUAUUGCGCAAUGGGGGCAACCCUGACGCAGCCAUGCCGCGUGAAUGAAGAAGGCCUUCGGGUUGUAAAGUUCUUUCGGUAGCGAGGAAGGCAUUUAGUUUAAUAGACUAGGUGAUUGACGUUAACUACAGAAGAAGCACCGGCUAACUCCGUGCCAGCAGCCGCGGUAAUACGGAGGGUGCGAGCGUUAAUCGGAAUAACUGGGCGUAAAGGGCACGCAGGCGGUGACUUAAGUGAGGUGUGAAAGCCCCGGGCUUAACCUGGGAAUUGCAUUUCAUACUGGGUCGCUAGAGUACUUUAGGGAGGGGUAGAAUUCCACGUGUAGCGGUGAAAUGCGUAGAGAUGUGGAGGAAUACCGAAGGCGAAGGCAGCCCCUUGGGAAUGUACUGACGCUCAUGUGCGAAAGCGUGGGGAGCAAACAGGAUUAGAUACCCUGGUAGUCCACGCUGUAAACGAUGUCGAUUUGGGGGUUGAGCUUUAAGCUUGGCGCCCGUAGCUAACGUGAUAAAUCGACCGCCUGGGGAGUACGGCCGCAAGGUUA
This 547-nucleotide ribosomal RNA is filed under the name uncultured bacterium. RNAcentral describes it as "bacterial SSU rRNA". It matches the Rfam family "Bacterial small subunit ribosomal RNA", at positions 355 to 896 of the family's 1533-position model. The record is from RNAcentral.